ACCUGCACAGGUGCUGCAUGGCUGUCGUCAGCUCGUGUCGUGAGAUGUUGGGUUAAGUCCCGCAACGAGCGCAACCCUUAUCCCUAGUUGCCAUCAGGUAAAGCUGGGAACUCUGGGGAGACUGCCGGUGAUAAACCGGAGGAAGGCGGGAUGACGUCAAGUCCUCAUGGCCCUUACAUCCCGGGCUACACACGUGCUACAAUGGGUGGUACAAAGAGCAGCUAACUCGCGAGAGUAUGCAAAUCUCAAAAAGCCAUCUUCAGUUCGGAUUGGAGUCUGCAACUCGACUCCAUGAAGUUGGAAUCGCUAGUAAUCGCGGAUCAGCAUGCCGCGGUCGAAUACGUUCCCGGGCCUU
This 355-nucleotide ribosomal RNA is filed under the name uncultured Stenotrophomonas sp. Its description in RNAcentral is "bacterial SSU rRNA". It matches the Rfam family "Bacterial small subunit ribosomal RNA", at positions 1028 to 1382 of the family's 1533-position model. The record is from RNAcentral. Lineage: Bacteria; Pseudomonadati; Pseudomonadota; Gammaproteobacteria; Lysobacterales; Lysobacteraceae.